CUGUUUUGCAGUGGGACUUCUUUUUCCCCCUAUAUAUAAGCUGAACUCAAACAUAGGCAAUUCUGGCAACAUAUUUUAACUUGAUUUUAAAAAGUUUUUUCUUCAUAUAUCAAACUUUGAAAAUAUCUGAUCCAAAGACUAUUGAGAAUGAUAAAAAAUAACUGGACUUGUUUUUGUUCUAGCAAGAAAACGCAAACAUCGGAAUUAGCUUAUUCCUUCAUUUUCAGGUUGAAUUAAAGACCCUGAAAGUCUGAUGUAGUCUUGUAAAACUCCUUCUCAAAUAAAUGUCAGAUAAUUUGAGGUAGUGCAGCAAGAUGGUACCUGCCUUACCCAGGCAUCUAAUGUUCAAUGAAGCACUUUCCUGGAGGAAAACUGGAAUAAAGGUUGUCCUAUGAGAACAAAAAGAAAACAAAGACUGUUGAAAAAUAAAUCUCCAAAAUGAACAAGCACGAGCAUUGCCCAUUUCCUGGCAAAGA
RNAcentral lists this long non-coding RNA (476 nucleotides) under Homo sapiens (human). RNAcentral describes it as "HSALNT0138511". Lineage: Eukaryota; Metazoa; Chordata; Mammalia; Primates; Hominidae. The record is from RNAcentral.